This is a long non-coding RNA of Culex pipiens pallens (northern house mosquito), 1353 nucleotides long. RefSeq lists it as uncharacterized. The transcript is spliced from 4 exons. NCBI's taxonomy places the organism in Eukaryota, Metazoa, Arthropoda, Insecta, Diptera, Culicidae. The record is from RefSeq and is a predicted model, not a curated record.
ACUUGCAAAUUUUAUGUAAGCGUGUAGUCAACAUCCAUCACACCAAAUUGUAGUAACUUUUCAACAAGAAAGAGAAGAGAGAGCUUGCAGAAAAGUACGGGAACGGUUUUGCUGCAACUUCUACCUCUCUCACUGCAGAAGUUCUGCCUGAGAGAAAAGUUACUUUUGUUGCAGAAAAGUACGGGAACGCUCUGCUGCCGUUUUUGUGCAGAAUUGCAGAAUUCUGCAGUACGGGAAUAGACCUAUUCUCUCAGAGCGUUACGCUAUUUUCGAGCUGUCAAACUGUCGCCAUCUUGAUUUUCAUUCGUAUAUUUUUUCAGCUACGAGAACACCGCCAUUGUGAAAAGUUGACACACAUCGGAAAGCACUUCCUCCACGAUCGCCGCGCCGCGCCGCACAUAUUCCCGGAAGUCUUCGCACGCCCCAGACGGUCGGCCAAGAGUUGCCCCAGACGGUCAGCCGCGCCGCACGACUCCCUUCUGCCACUUUCCCCAGACAGUCAGCCACGGAUUUCCUUGACCCCGGAAGUUCCGGCCGGAAGUGUUUCUACGCUCAUUCCCAUUUACCUGGAGCUGUGGCCAACCCGAUCCGCAUCGCACGGUGAAGUCCCUCCCGGAAGACGGUCAGCCGCGUCACGGAUUUCCUUGCCCCGGAAGCUGCAGCCGAGGAGAGCCGGUAAAUAGAUCCGCGUCUUUGUGCUCUGCCCCGUCCAAAACGGUCAGCCGCGCCACGGUCCAAGAUUAGUGACCGACCGUAACACGACCAAGAGUUGCAUCAGGGGGCCAGCCGCAUCGCACGUUUUAAUCCUUCCCGGAAGACUCCGCAAGGACUGUGGCCUGCCGCAGAACUCCUAAUCUUCUGCCACUUUCCCCAGACGAUCAGCCGCGUCCUUGUCCCCGGAAGCUGCAUUCGAGGACAGCCGGUAAACAGGUGUUAACACUUAAACUCCCAUGCUCGCGAAAAAGUCGAAAGUCCAACUUUGACAUGCUGUAUCUCGGCUCCCCUUGGACGGAUUGUGUUUUGUGACAGAUGUCAAGAUAAUUUUCCUUUUUUGAAAAGUCAAAAAAGAUGCAUUUACCCUAAGUUAUGUACGAAUCAAUGAAACAACUUUUUUUCAAAAAAGUCGGAAGUCGAUUAUGAUCAGCUGUAUCUUAACUCCUUGAGGGCGGAUUUUCAAAAUUCAGAAAGCCAAAAAUAGGGACAGAUGUCCAGAUGAUGUUCCUUAUAUGAAAAGUCAAAAAUAGACCCAUUUACUCUAAGUUAUGGGCGAACCAAUAAAUAAACUUUUUUUCAACUCGUUUUAUACGAUUUGUCUUGACAAAAUAUUGAAAUAUUAUGUGAUAAUCUUUAUCA